UACUAGAGUAGCACUCGCAUAUCAAUAAGCGGAGGAAAAGAAACUAACAAGGAUUCCCCUAGUAACGGCGAGUGAAGCGGGAAGAGCUCAAAUUUGAAAUCUUAAAGGGUUUCCCUUUACGAAUUGUAGUUUAAAGAAGUGUUUUCUGUUGAGGUUUUGGUAAAAGUUCUUUGGAAUAGGACAUCAUAGAGGGUGAGAAUCCCGUAUUUGACCUUUACUUUCAACUUUGUGAUACACUUUCAAAGAGUCGGAUUGUUUGGGAAUGCAGUCCAAAAUGGGUGGUAAAUUUCAUCUAAAGCUAAAUAUUGGCGAGAGACCGAUAGCGAACAAGUACCGUGAGGGAAAGAUGAAAAGAACUUUGAAAAGAGAGUUAAAUAGUACGUGAAAUUGUCAAAAGGGAAGCGUUUGACACCAGUGUUGUUUUUCUGAAAAUCAACCUCUGUUAGCUUUAUGCAUGUUUGUUUAGACCUAAUCAGCUAUCUUGCAUGUUCUAUUGUUUGCAGUGGUGCACUUUUCAGUUUACAGGUCAACAUCAGUUUUUUUUUACCGUAAAAAAGUUAAAGAAAGGUAGCUCAUGGCUCCGGUCGUGAGUGUUAUAGUCUUUUUCCUAUGCGGUAGGAGAGACUGAGGUCCGCAGUGUAGGCUAUUUGGCUAGAUACUCAGGUGCUAUGUGAUACCAUUUCAUAAACAACUUGUUGAUUAUGUUUUGUCUAUUGCAUACUCGCUUGUACUAUCAUACCUACGCUUAGGAUGUUGACGCGCGUGUGUGCGU
This 772-nucleotide ribosomal RNA is filed under the name uncultured Neocallimastigales. RNAcentral describes it as "partial large subunit ribosomal RNA". It matches the Rfam family "Eukaryotic large subunit ribosomal RNA", at positions 20 to 628 of the family's 3401-position model. Lineage: Eukaryota; Fungi; Neocallimastigomycota; Neocallimastigomycetes; Neocallimastigales. The record is from RNAcentral.